GACGAACGCUGGCGGCGUGCCUAAUACAUGCAAGUCGAACGAGACUUUCAUUGGUGGUAACACCUUUGUCUGUCUAGUGGCGAACGGGUGAGUAACACGUGAGAAACCUGCCCUGAAGACGGGGAUAACAGAAGGAAACUUCUGCUAAUACCCGAUACCCCCACCGGAUCGCAUGGUCUGGUGAGGAAAUGGAUUCCGCUUCAGGAGGGUCUCGCGGCCUAUCAGCUUGUUGGUGGGGUAACGGCCCACCAAGGCUUGGACGGGUAGCUGGUCUGAG
This 277-nucleotide ribosomal RNA is filed under the name uncultured bacterium. Its description in RNAcentral is "partial 16S ribosomal RNA". It matches the Rfam family "Bacterial small subunit ribosomal RNA", at positions 28 to 296 of the family's 1533-position model. The record is from RNAcentral.